UUCAUAUCAAGAGAAGUGGAGGGACUGGCCCUUUGAUACUUCGGCAACAUGGUCAUGCGUGUGCCAAUUCCAGAAGCUUUAAGGCUGAAGAUAAGAA
RNAcentral lists this non-coding RNA (97 nucleotides) under Staphylococcus hyicus. RNAcentral describes it as "SAM-I sequence". It matches the Rfam family "SAM riboswitch aptamer (S box leader)". Rfam says of the family: The SAM riboswitch is found upstream of a number of genes which code for proteins involved in methionine or cysteine biosynthesis in Gram-positive bacteria. Lineage: Bacteria; Bacillati; Bacillota; Bacilli; Caryophanales; Staphylococcaceae. The record is from RNAcentral.